Molecule: ribosomal RNA, 389 nt
Filed under: uncultured bacterium
Lineage: Bacteria
Description: bacterial SSU rRNA
Rfam family: Bacterial small subunit ribosomal RNA
Source: RNAcentral
AUUGAACGCUGGCGGCAUGCCUUACACAUGCAAGUCGAACGGCAGCACGGGAGCAAUCCUGGUGGCGAGUGGCGAACGGGUGAGUAAUAUAUCGGAACGUGCCCGGUCGUGGGGAUAACGUAGCGAAAGCUACGCUAAUACCGCAUACGAUCUACGGAUGAAAGCGGGGGGUCGCAAGACCUCGCGCGAUUGGAGCGGCCGAUAUCAGAUUAGGUAGUUGGUGAGGUAAAGGCUCACCAAGCCGACGAUCUGUAGCUGGUCUGAGAGGACGACCAGCCACACUGGGACUGAGACACGGCCCAGACUCCUACGGGAGGCAGCAGUGGGGAAUUUUGGACAAUGGGCGCAAGCCUGAUCCAGCAAUGCCGCGUGCAGGAUGAAGGCCUCGG